Molecule: transfer RNA, 64 nt
Filed under: Marilyna darwinii (Darwin toadfish)
Lineage: Eukaryota; Metazoa; Chordata; Actinopteri; Tetraodontiformes; Tetraodontidae
Description: tRNA-Cys
Source: RNAcentral
AGCCCUGGGGUGUUACAUGCUAGAUUGCAAAUCUAGAGAGACAGAUUAGCGUCUGUCAGGGCUU